RNAcentral lists this long non-coding RNA (974 nucleotides) under Gallus gallus (chicken). RNAcentral describes it as "long non-coding RNA NONGGAT006834". Lineage: Eukaryota; Metazoa; Chordata; Aves; Galliformes; Phasianidae. The record is from RNAcentral.
CGCUGUCUAAAUGACUUAUGUAAUUUCUUCAUCUACUUUUUGAUUGAGGAGUGAUAACUCAGGCGAUGAGUUAUUUGGCAUCAGCCUCAGAGACAAUCUGUUUUCCUUAAAUAAAUCCUGAGGCACCUUUCAGCCACCCAGUUUUAAAAUAAGCCUGUAGUGGAUCGGGUCUGAUGUGCUUGGCAGAUUUGGCCAAAGGAUGAAGUUAGGAUUUGCUGUCAUUAUUCCGCUUUGUUUAUUGUUCUGUCAUUAAGUGAGAGUUCUAGAUGUAGUACUGAGGAAAAUGAGAAGUGGGGCGAAAGGCAGUUUUUGUGUUACAGCACAGGGGUAUGGCAGGGCAUUUUGUCCCUGCUGGCAGAGGCACUAUUUUGCUCAAAAGCACACAGUGUUGUCCAAGAACCAGAGAGGAGAAUGCACACCAACACCAGCCUGGAUCCGUAGCCUGGGAUGUGGGUGAUGUACCCCAGAGAAGGGAAAAGAGUAAUCAAUUUUUCUUCUACAGCUGAAUACAAAUCAGAGCUCAGAGUAUCUGCGUCUGAGGUUUAAAUGUAGAGUGCCAUUACACAAGCAAAAUCUGCCAAUCAGGGCCAAUCACAUGAGUGAUUCUGCGGAGGCUGAAGCAGGAUUGCCGAACUCAUUGUCAUGCGUGGCUAAACAGAGAAUUGAACCUUGUGAAAGGUUAGUGAUUUUAGAUAAUUUUAAAACGAUUGCACAGGAGGUGAUACAGCUGCUGUCAGUCUACCCUAAUCCUGUUCUCCGCUGGAUCUGCCCUUGCAGAGGCACUGCUUUCUCUCAGUGAUUAAGGGGAGACAUUGCUUUCAGAGGUGCUGAUUCAGCAGAGCAAAGAGUCAGUAAAUUAGCAAUGACUGUAAGGGAAUUUUAAAUAUUGGUAGAGUACCAAACUUCUACUGUUAUAGUGUCUUGGAGAAGAAAUUCUAAUUAAGUUACUCUACCAGGAAGUGUGGGAGAGAUGA